ACGUCAAUUUUCUCUGACAGGGAAUGCUCAGCCCCUGCUGCAGCAGCUUUUCUGCUGCCCUCUGUGUAAAAUGAGAACUUCCAGGAAUGUUAGCAGAAGGCAAGCAGAAAUGUCAGAGCACUGCUUUGUAGCAGCACUGCUCACCCCCGAACUUCUGCUCGGAUAUGACUGGACACUGAGCCCUGGAGAGGACACAUUGGUGGUAGAGGUCUGGGCAGCAGAUCCCAUCCAAGGAGGUGACGCUCAGGAUGCCCUUUCUAUCCCCUGCCAAGCAGCUGAGGAGCUCUUAUUACACAGCAGACAACACCAACAGGUUCUGCUUGUCAAUGCUUGUUAGAGACUCUGGAAUCAGGCUGGACUUCCCAUCAAGAGCUGGUGAGGCUGCACUCAGGAGCCAGAGAGGAAAAGGAAGGAAACAACUUCUGCAAUG
Molecule: long non-coding RNA, 430 nt
Organism: Passer montanus (Eurasian tree sparrow)
Lineage: Eukaryota; Metazoa; Chordata; Aves; Passeriformes; Passeridae
Exons: 4
Source: RefSeq, a predicted model, not a curated record